AAGUCGUAACAAGGUUUCCGUAGGUGAACCUGCGGAAGGAUCAUUAGUGAAUUUGUUUUGUGGUUGGGUGUCUUGCUAAGCUUUUUUUUUACAAGACAUCCCCCAAACACCCCCACUAUUAUCACGCCGGCUGAGGGGGAGCAAUCCUCUGAAGUCGAGAGCCUAGUAAGCUCGGAAAUUUGUGAGAAUUAAGUUUCUCAUUUUUUAGAACCAUAUAGUCAUGUAUGUUAAGUAGUAUUCUUAAAACAAAUACAACUUUCAGCAACGGAUCUCUUGGCUCUC
This 282-nucleotide unclassified non-coding RNA is filed under the name fungal sp. RNAcentral's name for it is "partial internal transcribed spacer region". The stretch from base 1 to 46 matches the Rfam family "Eukaryotic small subunit ribosomal RNA", at positions 1786 to 1831 of the family's 1831-position model. The record is from RNAcentral. Lineage: Eukaryota; Fungi.